GACGAACGCUGGCGGCGUGGAUUAGGCAUGCAAGUCGAACGGUAUCAUCCUUUCGGGGGUGAGAGAGUGGCGAACUGGUGAGUAACACGUAGGUUAUCUACCCUCAAGACGGGGACAACCCAGGGAAACUUGGGCUAAUACCGGAUGUGAGCAACUUUUAGUUGUUUGAAAGGUGGCGUAAGCUGUCGCUUGGGGAUGAGCCUGCGUCCUAUUAGUUAGUUGGUGAGGUAACGGCUCACCUAGGCAAUGAUAGGUAGGCGGCCUUAACGGGUGGUCGCCCACACUGGGAUUGAGAUACGGCCCAGACUCCUACGGGAGGCAGCAGUCGAGAAUAGUCUACAAUGGUCGGAAGACUGAUAGUGCGACGCCGCGUGAACGAUGAAUCCCUUCGGGGUGUAAAGUUCUUUUCUAUACGAGCAGUGCUAUAUAUAUGGAUAGUAUAUAUAGAGGGAUAGUAGUAUAGGAAUAAGCAACGGCUAACUCCGUGCCCAGCAGCCCGCGGUAAAAUCACG
This 512-nucleotide ribosomal RNA is filed under the name uncultured bacterium. RNAcentral describes it as "bacterial SSU rRNA". It matches the Rfam family "Bacterial small subunit ribosomal RNA", at positions 28 to 527 of the family's 1533-position model. The record is from RNAcentral.